ACACCUCUCUCUCUCUCUCUCUCUCUCUCUCUCUCUCUCAUACAAUCAAUGCCCAGAUGGCCAUUCUCUGCCUUUGUGAAAACAACAAAGAAAACAUCCAGCAUUUGUCAAAGCAAGCCAGCAAAAUUGAAGCAAUGUCUAAAAUUCCAGCCAAGAGAAGAAGAACCAGACAUCCUCUAGAAGACAUCACCAAUUUCUUCCACCCACCACCACCACCUACCCAGUCAACUCCAAUCUCAAACACCACAGAACUUUUUGUUUCUCACCGAAAAUUGGUCCACAAUCCGGUGCAACGAAAGCGGAGAGUUGAGAAUGUCCCUGGCUUCUCAAUUCAGAUGAAUGUGGCUCGUGUCCCUGAGGAAGGGUUUUAGAUAGUCCACUAGUCAUUUCCCAGUAAUGCGAACAUAGUUUCUUGUGUCUUUUUCUUGUUUCAUUGACAACUAUUUUUUUGUGUGUGGGCAUCUGCUUGAGCAAACAUCAUUUUGGGUGAAUACCCCCUAAAUCACUGCAUUUUUAGUACACAUUAAUGCUUACAUUCGAUCAAAUUAUGGUCAUAUUUGGCAUGAAUUGGCCACUAUUUUUUUCUCUGUUAUAGUACUUCUUCCUGGAAAUAAAAUACUUGGAAAAAAAGAAGCAAUGAACAUGCGUGUUUCUUUCAAUUUUAGGCU
This 668-nucleotide long non-coding RNA is filed under the name Actinidia chinensis (golden kiwifruit). Its description in RNAcentral is "long non-coding RNA (ACHI_LNC003878)". Lineage: Eukaryota; Viridiplantae; Streptophyta; Magnoliopsida; Ericales; Actinidiaceae. The record is from RNAcentral.